RNAcentral lists this ribosomal RNA (426 nucleotides) under uncultured Lysinibacillus sp. RNAcentral's name for it is "bacterial SSU rRNA". It matches the Rfam family "Bacterial small subunit ribosomal RNA", at positions 356 to 774 of the family's 1533-position model. The record is from RNAcentral. Lineage: Bacteria; Bacillati; Bacillota; Bacilli; Caryophanales; Bacillaceae.
AGGGAAUCUUCCACAAUGGGCGAAAGCCUGAUGGAGCAACGCCGCGUGAGUGAAGAAGGAUUUCGGUUCGUAAAACUCUGUUGUAAGGGAAGAACAAGUACAGUAGUAACUGGCUGUACCUUGACGGUACCUUAUUAGAAAGCCACGGCUAACUACGUGCCAGCAGCCGCGGUAAUACGUAGGUGGCAAGCGUUGUCCGGAAUUAUUGGGCGUAAAGCGCGCGCAGGUGGUUUCUUAAGUCUGAUGUGAAAGCCCACGGCUCAACCGUGGAGGGUCAUUGGAAACUGGGAGACUUGAGUGCAGCAGAGACUAGUGGAAUUCAAAGUGUAGCGGUGAAAGGCGUAGAGAUUAGGAAGAGCACCAGUGGCGAAGGCAACUCUCUGGGCGUUAACUGCCACUGAGGCACGAAAGCGUGGGGAGCAAACA